Molecule: unclassified non-coding RNA, 247 nt
Filed under: Aconitum gigas
Lineage: Eukaryota; Viridiplantae; Streptophyta; Magnoliopsida; Ranunculales; Ranunculaceae
Source: RNAcentral
UCAAAACCUGCCUAGCAGAGCAACCCGCGAACAAGUGAAAACAUACCCGGGUAGAACGAGGAGGGGCGCACGCCCCGAUCGCCUGCCCGUCGGACCACGGCCCCUCUACAAACGCAAUGAUUUGCGGGCGGAGGGUGGGUUGCUGUGUCCGGGCAAAACCAAAAACCGGCGCGACAGGCGCCAAGGAAAUCUUAGCGGAAAAAGAGGGUUGUCCCGUUUGCGGAGGCAGCCUUUGGAAUCCGAUACU